Molecule: transfer RNA, 71 nt
Filed under: Moringua edwardsi (spaghetti eel)
Lineage: Eukaryota; Metazoa; Chordata; Actinopteri; Anguilliformes; Moringuidae
Description: tRNA-Ser (UCN)
Rfam family: tRNA
About the family: Transfer RNA (tRNA) molecules are approximately 80 nucleotides in length. Their secondary structure includes four short double-helical elements and three loops (D, anti-codon, and T loops).
Source: RNAcentral
AAGAGAGUGGCAGAGCGAUUAUGCGGUUGGCUUGAAACCAGCAGACGGGGGUUUGAUUCCUUCCUUUCUUG